AUACCAUUAUAAUGCGUCAUUUGCUACAUAUUGUUUUUCAUUCAGCGAUUGCAAGUUACUUACAGAAGCAUUGAGAGAAAAUUUUAAUCUUGAUGUAAGGGUAUGUAAAUGUCAGAUGCGUGGAAAAAUACGCUAUCGACUUUACAUCACUUCCUCAAGCAUGGGUCGUUUCAUAAGUUUAAUUAAGCCUUAUGUAAAUCCAUGCUUUGAGUACAAAAUUCGUAAGUUUAACUAGCCAGCAGCAGCGGUAAUACAGAGCCCCCAAGCGUUAUCCGGAUUUAUUGGGCGUAAAGGGUCCGUAGACGCCUCGUCAAGUUUUCUGUUAAAUCUUCAGGGCUUAACCUUGAAGCUGUGGGAAAAACUAACGAGGUAGAGGGCGUUAGAGGCCAGUGGAAUGCACGGUGUAGGGGUGAAAUCCGUUGAUAUCGUGUAGAACACCAAAAGCGAAGGCAGCUGGCUGGGGCGACCCUGACGUUGAGGGACGAAAGCGUGGGGAGCAAACGAGAUUAGAUACCUCGGUAGUCCACGCCCUAAACGAUGGAUGCUAGCUAGUGGGAGUGUCGACCCUUUCACUGGCGAAGCUAACGCAUUAAGCAUCCCGCCUGGGAAGUACGGCCGCAAGGUUGAAACUCAAAGGAAUAGACGGGGGUCUACACAAGCGGUGGACCACGUGGCUUAAUUCGACGACAAACGAAGAACCUUACCAGGGCUUGACAGGUCAAGUGAAAAUCUGCCGAAAGGCGGACUCCGCAAGGCACUUGAUACAGGUGCUGCAUGGUUGUCGUCAGCAGGUGUCGUGAGAUGCUCCCUUAAAUGGGGAAACCUGCGCAACCCUUGUCCUAUGUUUUAUUUGUCAUAGGGAACUGCCUCAUUUUAUGAGGAGGAAGGCGAGGACGACGUCAAAUCAGCAUGGCCCUUAUGUCCUGGGCCGCACACGUGGUACAAUGGCCAGUACAAAGAGUUGCUAAAGCGUAAGCUGGAGCUAAUCUCAUCAAAACUGGUCUCAGUUCGGAUCGAGGUCUGAAACUCGACCUCGUGAAGCUGGAAUCGCUAGUAAUCGCGAAUCAGCUAUGUCGCGAUGAAUAUGUCCCUGGACCUUGUACUCACCGCCCGUCACAUUAGGGAAGCCGGUAGUAGCCGAAACCCCAGCUUGUCUGGGUCUAAGCUAAGAUCGGUGACCAGAAUGAAGUCGUAAGAAAGUUGCGACUCCUGAAGAGUAAUUU
Molecule: ribosomal RNA, 1223 nt
Filed under: bacterium (Candidatus Gribaldobacteria) CG_4_10_14_0_2_um_filter_36_18
Lineage: Bacteria; Candidatus Gribaldobacteria
Also listed under: 4 other names
Description: bacterial SSU rRNA
Rfam family: Bacterial small subunit ribosomal RNA
Source: RNAcentral